RNAcentral lists this long non-coding RNA (628 nucleotides) under Lathyrus oleraceus (garden pea). RNAcentral describes it as "Pisum sativum (pea) long non-coding RNA (PSAT_LNC009406)". Lineage: Eukaryota; Viridiplantae; Streptophyta; Magnoliopsida; Fabales; Fabaceae. The record is from RNAcentral.
CAGGCUUAGCAGCUGGCUUGGCUUUGGCAGCUGGCUUGGCUUUGGCAGCAGGUUUCGCCUUAGCAGCAGCUUUAGGCUUCGCGGCAGGCUUGGCCUUGGCUGCUGGCUUGGCUGCGGCAGUCUUAACCGGCUUGGCAGCGGGUUUAGCUUUGGCAGCAGGCUUUGCCUUAGCAGCGGGCUUAGCCUUGGCAGCUGGCUUGGCCUUAGCAAUGCGGCAGUCUUAACCGGCUUGGCAGCGGGUUUAGCUUUGGCAGCAGGCUUUGCCUUAGCAGCGGGCUUAGCCUUGGCAGCUGGCUUGGCCUUAGCAGCGGGCUUGGCUUUGGCAGCUGGCUUAGCCUUAGCUGCGGGCUUAGCCUUUGACUUGGUAGCAGCUUUAGCCUUGGGCUUGGCUUUGGACUUAGCAGCAGCAGGCUUCUUGGCGGGCUUUGCAGCAGAGGACUUCGCCGGUAACUUGUAAGAGGCCUUAACCUUGACGAGCUUGCCAGAAGCAACAAGCUUCUUGAUCUGAACCAGCAAAAGCUUCUUGAAGUUCGAUGGAAGCUGCUUGUGCUUCUCUUCAAUGAACUUCGCAAUCGCGUACUGGCUUGAACCGUUCCUCUCCUUCAAAGCAACAAUCGCUUCCUUCACC